RNAcentral lists this ribosomal RNA (599 nucleotides) under fungal endophyte sp. ECD-2008. RNAcentral describes it as "eukaryotic LSU rRNA". The stretch from base 270 to 423 matches the Rfam family "5.8S ribosomal RNA". Lineage: Eukaryota; Fungi. The record is from RNAcentral.
CUUGGUCAUUUAGNGGAAGUAAAAGUCGUAACAAGGUCUCCGUUGGUGAACCAGCGGAGGGAUCAUUACAGAGUUUUCUAAACUCCCAACCCUAUGUGAACUUACCACUGUUGCUUCGGCGGCGGAGGCCACCCUGUAGGGGAUACCACGCAGUGGUUACCCUGUAGUCUCGGGUACUGAUUCUGUCAGCUACCCGGUGGCUCUCCCCGCCGGCGGCCAACUAAACUCUGUUUUAUUUGGAACUCUGAAUCGUAAACUUAAUAAGUUAAAACUUUCAACAACGGAUCUCUUGGUUCUGGCAUCGAUGAAGAACGCAGCGAAAUGCGAUAAGUAAUGUGAAUUGCAGAAUUCAGUGAAUCAUCGAAUCUUUGAACGCACAUUGCGCCCAUUAGCAUUCUAGUGGGCAUGCCUGUUCGAGCGUCAUUUCAACACUUAAGCCCUGCUGCUUAGCGUUGGGAGCCUACGGCACGGCCCGUAGCUCCUUAAAGUGAUUGGCGGAGUUGGUUCUCACUCUAAGCGUAGUAAUUCUUUCUCGCUUCUGCAGUGGUCCCGGCCCCCGCCGUAAAACUUACCCAGUAAACAAUGGUGACCUCGGNUCA